GAUGAACGCUGGCGGCGUGCCUAAUACAUGCAAGUCGAGCGAACAGACGAGGAGCUUGCUCCUCUGACGUUAGCGGCGGACGGGUGAGUAACACGUGGAUAACCUACCUAUAAGACUGGGAUAACUUCGGAAAACCGGAGCUAAUACCGGAUAAUAUAUUGAACCGCAUGGUUCAAUAGUGAAAGACGGUUUUGCUGUCACUUAUAGAUGGAUCCGCGCCGCAUUAGCUAGUUGGUAAGGUAACGGCUUACCAAGGCAACGAUGCGUAGCCGACCUGAGAGGGGGAGCGGCCCCCCCAGAACUGAGACACGGUCCAGACUCCUACGGGAGGCAGCAGUAGGGAAUCUUCCGCAAUGGGCGAAAGCCUGACGGAGCAACGCCGCGUGAGUGAUGAAGGUCUUCGGAUCGGAAAACUCUGUUAUUAGGGAAGAACAAAUGUGUAAGUAACUAUGCACUUCUUGACGGUACCUAAUCAGAAAGCCACGGCUAACUACGUG
Molecule: ribosomal RNA, 497 nt
Filed under: uncultured bacterium
Lineage: Bacteria
Description: partial 16S ribosomal RNA
Rfam family: Bacterial small subunit ribosomal RNA
Source: RNAcentral